Molecule: ribosomal RNA, 467 nt
Filed under: uncultured bacterium
Lineage: Bacteria
Description: partial 16S ribosomal RNA
Rfam family: Bacterial small subunit ribosomal RNA
Source: RNAcentral
GACGAACGCUGGCGGCGUGCUUAACACAUGCAAGUCGAACGGAAAGGCCUCAGCUUGCUGGGGUACUCGAGUGGCGAACGGGUGAGUAACACGUGGGUGAUCUGCCUUGCACUCUGGGAUAAGCUUGGGAAACUGGGUCUAAUACCGGAUAUGAACUGCCUUUAGUGUGGUGGUUGGAAAGUUUUUUCGGUGCAAGAUGAGCUCGCGGCCUAUCAGCUUGUUGGUGGGGUAAUGGCCUACCAAGGCGUCGACGGGUAGCCGGCCUGAGAGGGUGUACGGCCACAUUGGGACUGAGAUACGGCCCAGACUCCUACGGGAGGCAGCGGUGGGGAAUAUUGCACAAUGGGCGGAAGCCUGAUGCAGCGACGCCGCGUGGGGGAUGACGGCCUUCGGGUUGUAAACUCCUUUCGACAGGGACGAAGCUUUUUGUGACGGUACCUGUAUAAGAAGCACCGGCUAACUACGUG